CCCUUGUUAGCUCAGUUGGUAGAGCGCUCCACUUGUAAUGGAGAGGUCCCGGGUUCGAUACCCGGACCAGGCG
This 73-nucleotide transfer RNA is filed under the name Ixodes scapularis (black-legged tick). It matches the Rfam family "tRNA". Rfam says of the family: Transfer RNA (tRNA) molecules are approximately 80 nucleotides in length. Lineage: Eukaryota; Metazoa; Arthropoda; Arachnida; Ixodida; Ixodidae. The record is from Rfam by way of RNAcentral.